RNAcentral lists this ribosomal RNA (253 nucleotides) under uncultured bacterium. RNAcentral describes it as "partial 16S ribosomal RNA". It matches the Rfam family "Bacterial small subunit ribosomal RNA", at positions 524 to 776 of the family's 1533-position model. The record is from RNAcentral.
UACGUAGGGGGCAAGCGUUAUCCGGAUUUACUGGGUGUAAAGGGAGCGUAGACGGCCAUUCAAGCCAGAUGUGAAAGCCCGGGGCUCAACCCCGGGACUGCAUUUGGAACUGUAUGGCUGGGGUGUCGGAGAGGCAGGCGGAAUUCCUAGUGUAGCGGUGAAAUGCGUAGAUAUUAGGAGGAACACCAGUGGCGAAGGCGGCCUGCUGGACGAUGACUGACGUUGAGGCUCGAAAGCGUGGAGAGCAAACAGG